UACUUUGUUCCAUCGUUUUGUGAAUAUUCCAGGUCGCUUCGAGACUCGAAGAAACGCCAGUGUAUCGUCCAUGUGAUCGUAAAAGUUUAAGAUCUAGAAACUAUUCUGAAUCCUAAGACCAAAGGAGAAUGUAACUUCUCCUGUUCUUCCUCUUCGUGCAGUCUUCGUCUAAAAACGUUGGAAAGCGUAAACGCGUAAGAAUUGAAAGUUUCAGCCAGUUUUUAUAGUUAGGAAACACAUGGCGCGUGCUACUGGCUCGUCGAUGAAAAAUUGACAAGAGCAACGGUAUCUCGGAGGAUGUUCUUUCUACCCUUUUCCCGAUAAUACCGAUGUUUUAUAGGUUCGUGAGCCGUUAACACAGAGAGGGGAACGCGCUGGAUUUGUAACACUUUCUGCCGCAGCAAGAACACCGAUAACUUUUAUCUUUCGCGCCCGCAAACAUUCAGGCCAGUGUCUUUAUCUAACGUGAUCCCGUGGAUACGCGAGCCGAUAAGACUCGUGCACGGAAUAAACGAAUCGAGUGGUGGCUUUGAUCGACCCGCAGGAUAUAACCCGGAUACAACGUCUCAUGUGUACGGCAAGAAAUUGAUGUUCCAAGGCUGCCUGUCUUACCUCCCCUGUUAUCAAUCCCGGAUCAACGACAAGAACAGCGCAUAAAGAAAAGCUAGUUCCAUUAAGAAAUAGUUUCUUUCUUACGUAACAGUGUAAUAUCGUGGACAAAAGGCCUAAGAGAUAUCGGGUGAACCAUAAACAGUGUCGUGCGAAAGCCAAGGUGCCAACAGGCCCAUCGAUGUGUCGUCGUUCCUUCGUGAUCCUGGCUACGAGCGAUUGCGGAACACGUGCGUGGUGGAGCUAAGACAAAAGACAAAGGGAUGCUAAGGGACAUAGACGAAUUAACAGUCAGUGUCAGUGGAGAAGACGGAGAGUGCGAAUUUGAGAAGUCAGAGAUUGCGAAUUGCAUUGUCGAGAGAGCGUGAUCCGUGGUGACGAGAGUUGCGAAUUAACUAUCUAGUUGUCUUAAUUAUAGCACGUUUUACAACCAUACAUUUAGUUCACGUUAAACAACCAUCGUUUCCUGUUUAAUCAACAUCUGUACAACCCUUAAUUAUUAAUAAAUUAAUUAUAGUAUAAGAUGUUGAGGAAAUAUUAGGUUGGUAUGAUCACUAGUUCCUACAUGCUAAGUUGGUACGACUUUUAACGACGCUCCUUUGUCUUUGGCGUUGGCCACGUGUUAAUUAUCUGAAUGUAAGCGGUGUGUUCAUAUGGCUGUAUAUGGUGGUGAAAUACAGAACGUAAAAACUGAA
Molecule: long non-coding RNA, 1304 nt
Organism: Bombus terrestris (buff-tailed bumblebee)
Lineage: Eukaryota; Metazoa; Arthropoda; Insecta; Hymenoptera; Apidae
Exons: 2
Source: RefSeq, a predicted model, not a curated record